RNAcentral lists this ribosomal RNA (494 nucleotides) under uncultured bacterium. RNAcentral's name for it is "partial 16S ribosomal RNA". It matches the Rfam family "Bacterial small subunit ribosomal RNA", at positions 28 to 507 of the family's 1533-position model. The record is from RNAcentral.
GACGAACGCUGGCGGCGUGCCUAAUACAUGCAAGUCGAACGCUGAAGGCGGAGCUUGCUUCUCUGGAUGAGUUGCGAACUGGUGAUUAACGCUUAUGUAACCUGCCUGGUAGCGGGGGUUAACUUUUGGAAACGUUAGCUAAUACCGCAUAAUAGCUGUUAUUGCAUGAUUACUGUUUGAAAGGUUCAAUUGCUCCACUACCAGUUGGCCCUGCGUUGUAUUAGCUAGUUGGUGGGGUAACGGCUCACCAAGGCGACGAUACAUAGCCGACCUGAGAGGGUGAUCGGCCACACUGGGACUGAGACACGGCCCAGACUCCACGGGAGGCAGCAGGAGGGAAUCUUCGGCAAGGGACGGAAGGCUGAACGAGAAACGCCGCGGGAGUGAAGAAGGGUGUCGGAUCGGAAAGAUCGGUUGUAAGAGAAGAACGAGUGUGAGAGUGGAAAGUGCACACUGUGACGGUAUCUUACCAGAAAGGGACGGCUAACUACGUG